Neofelis nebulosa (Clouded leopard) is the source of this 856-nucleotide long non-coding RNA. RefSeq lists it as uncharacterized. The transcript is spliced from 3 exons. NCBI's taxonomy places the organism in Eukaryota, Metazoa, Chordata, Mammalia, Carnivora, Felidae. The record is from RefSeq and is a predicted model, not a curated record.
ACCGCUCCAGCGGGUAACAGGCGGUGUAACAGGCCCUGAGGAUUCUCUGCUCUGCGCUGCCCCUGCCUUCCUGUGCUUAUAGUCCAGCGGGAGAGAGUCGGUAGUCAAAUAAUUGCACCUCUGCACGUUUACAAACUGUGGACAGUGCCAAAAAGGAGAAGCACAGAGUGCAGGAAGUGGCAGGGAGUGUGGUAGAGGCAGUGCAGAGCUGGCCAGCUGCCGCGUGGACAGCGGGUAGUAAAGACGGGACAACUCUAUGCCACAACCUGGAGAGAUUAAAAUGCCACCUAAUUGCUGCAGAUCACUGAUUUCGAUCACUGAUUUCCCAAACUGACAAAACUGAAAGAUGAAGACCCCUGACGCUGUUGAGAAACAGGCACCUAACCCCAGGCAUGAAUUAGUACAUGGGAGAAAACAUCAGGCAAAACAAUUACUCUAGAGACUUUGGGAGUUUCAAGACAACUGAAUGCACGAUAAGAAAGGGGAUAUCUUGGAGAAGACAGACUGCUCAUCUCUACUGGGAUUCUUCUGUAAGUCACAUUAUUGACUUCAAGAGGCCAUGAAAGUGUGUCUUUCCUUGAGACAGUAAACUCUCUGUUUUCUGAAGUGAAUGGAAAAAAAGGGGUGUAUUGGUUUGCCAUGUCGGUUUCCAGAAAUGAGUAUACUGUACAAUGUACUUCAUCUACAAUGCUGCCAAAUAUAAUUUAUUGUUACUCAGAUGAUUCAGAAGACCUUCUGGUAUCUCAUCAAGGUAAACAGCAAAUAUUUUGUGCUGCAGCUGUGUGGAGGAGACAUUGCCCAGUGAUUUCUAGAAAUGAGUCAGAAAAAUAAAAAUAAAUGCUUUUCUCUGUUAUAA